GGGUUGUGAGGUUAAGCGACUAAGCGUACACGGUGGAUGCCCUGGCAGUCAGAGGCGAUGAAGGGCGUGCUAAUCUGCGAUAAGCGCCGGUAAGGUGAUAUGAACCGUUAUAACCGGCGAUACCCGAAUGGGGAAACCCAGUGUGAUUCGUCACACUAUCAUUAACUGAAUCCAUAGGUUAAUGAGGCGAACCGGGGGAACUGAAACAUCUAAGUACCCCGAGGAAAAGAAAUCAACCGAGAUUCCCCCAGUAGCGGCGAGCGAACGGGGAGGAGCCCAGAGCCUGAAUCAGCAUGUGUGUUAGUGGAAGCGUCUGGAAAGGCGCGCGAUACAGGGUGACAGCCCCGUACACAAAAGCGCAUGUGCUGUGAGCUCGAUGAGUAGGGCGGGACACGUGGUAUCCUGUCUGAAUAUGGGGGGACCAUCCUCCAAGGCUAAAUACUCCUGACUGACCGAUAGUGAACCAGUACCGUGAGGGAAAGGCGAAAAGAACCCCGGCGAGGGGAGUGAAAAAGAACCUGAAACCGUGUACGUACAAGCAGUGGGAGCACCCACCACUAAGCCAGUGGUGAACUCCACAUACGCAUCCUUUGCUGAGGAUACGGUUAACGGAGCGAAAGCGACGUUCAACCGCAAAACAAGCAGAGGGGGCUUAGUGGUGGGGUGACUGCGUACCUUUUGUAUAAUGGGUCAGCGACUUAUAUUCUGUAGCAAGGUUAACCGUAUAGGGGAGCCGGAGGGAAACCGAGUCUUAAUUGGGCGUUAAGUUGCAGGGUAUAGACCCGAAACCCGGUGAUCUAGCCAUGGGCAGGUUGAAGGUUGGGUAACACUAACUGGAGGACCGAACCGACUAAUGUUGAAAAAUUAGCGGAUGACCUGUGGCUGGGGGUGAAAGGCCAAUCAAACCGGGAGAUAGCUGGUUCUCCCCGAAAGCUAUUUAGGUAGCGCCUCGUGAAUUCAUCUCCGGGGGUAGAGCACUGUUUCGGCUAGGGGGCCAUCCCGGCUUACCAACCCGAUGCAAACUGCGAAUACCGGAGAAUGUUAUCACGGGAGACACACGGCGGGUGCUAACGUCCGUCGUGAAGAGGGAAACAACCCAGACCGCCAGCUAAGGUCCCAAAGUCAUGGUUAAGUGGGAAACGAUGUGGGAAGGCCCAGACAGCCAGGAUGUUGGCUUAGAAGCAGCCAUCAUUUAAAGAAAGCGUAAUAGCUCACUGGUCGAGUCGGCCUGCGCGGAAGAUGUAACGGGGCUAAACCAUGCACCGAAGCUGCGGCAGCGA
Molecule: ribosomal RNA, 1280 nt
Filed under: Salmonella enterica subsp. enterica serovar Liverpool
Lineage: Bacteria; Pseudomonadati; Pseudomonadota; Gammaproteobacteria; Enterobacterales; Enterobacteriaceae
Description: bacterial LSU rRNA
Rfam family: Bacterial large subunit ribosomal RNA
Source: RNAcentral